GUCACAUACCAGUCAAGAAAGAGAUGGAGAAUGUUUAGCUCUGAACAUGUAUGAUACUGCAGAUAAAAGAGCGUAACUCUGGAAAUCAAAGUUCUUGGGAAUUCCUUGGGAGACUGCACGCAGUGUUGGGUACAGUUUAAGAGGUAAUUGCUUUAUAACUGCUAUAACUGCUUUACACAAUAUAAUGUAAAACUGGAUAUGAUUCUCUAAGGGGACGCCAG
This 221-nucleotide long non-coding RNA is filed under the name Gallus gallus (chicken). Lineage: Eukaryota; Metazoa; Chordata; Aves; Galliformes; Phasianidae. The record is from RNAcentral.